CUCAGGACGAACGCUGGCGGCGUGCCUAACACAUGCAAGUCGAGCGGAGACAGUGAGUAGCUUGCUAUGAGCUGUUUUAGCGGCGGACGGGUGAGUAACGCGUGAGCAACCUUUCCCAGACAGGGGAAUAACACACCGAAAGGUGUACUAAUACCGCAUAAGACCACGGGAUCACAUGGUUCUGGGGUAAAAGAUUUAUCGGUUUGGGGUGGGCUCGCGUCCGAUUAGGUAGUUGGUGAGGUAACGGCCCACCAAGCCGACGAUCGGUAGCCGACCUGAGAGGGUGAUCGGCCACAUUGGGACUGAGACACGGCCCAAACUCCUACGGGAGGCAGCAGUGGGGAAUAUUGGGCAAUGGAGGAAACUCUGACCCAGCAACGCCGCGUGGAGGAAGAAGGUUUUCGGAUCGUAAACUCCUGUCCUUGGAGACGAGUAGAAGACGGUAUCCAAGGAGGAAGCCCCGGCUAACUACGUG
RNAcentral lists this ribosomal RNA (475 nucleotides) under uncultured bacterium. RNAcentral's name for it is "bacterial SSU rRNA". It matches the Rfam family "Bacterial small subunit ribosomal RNA", at positions 23 to 507 of the family's 1533-position model. The record is from RNAcentral.